Molecule: ribosomal RNA, 388 nt
Filed under: Macaca fascicularis (crab-eating macaque)
Lineage: Eukaryota; Metazoa; Chordata; Mammalia; Primates; Cercopithecidae
Description: partial 12S ribosomal RNA
Rfam family: Bacterial small subunit ribosomal RNA
Source: RNAcentral
GCUUGGCCCUAAACCUCAGUAAUUAGAUAACAAAACUACUCGCCAGAAUACUACAAGCAACAGCUUGAAACUCAAAGGACUUGACGGUGCUUUACAUCCCCCUAGAGGAGCCUGUUCCGUAAUCGAUAAACCCCGAUCCACCCUACCCUCUCUUGCUCAGCCUAUAUACCGCCAUCUUCAGCAAACCCUAAUGAAGGCCACAAAGUGAGCGCAAACGCCGCCGCCGCGAAUACGUUAGGUCAAGGUGUAGCCCAUGAGACGGUAAAAAAUGGGCUACAUUUUCUAUUUCAGAAAACCCACGAAAACCCUUAUGAAACUUAAGGGUCCAAGGAGGAUUUAGCAGUAAAUUAAGAAUAGAGUGCUUAAUUGAACCAGGCCAUAAAGCGCG